RNAcentral lists this ribosomal RNA (504 nucleotides) under Thalassospira sp. Its description in RNAcentral is "bacterial SSU rRNA". It matches the Rfam family "Bacterial small subunit ribosomal RNA", at positions 378 to 903 of the family's 1533-position model. Lineage: Bacteria; Pseudomonadati; Pseudomonadota; Alphaproteobacteria; Rhodospirillales; Thalassospiraceae. The record is from RNAcentral.
GCAGCCUGAUCCGCCAUGCCGCGUGAGUGAAGAAGGCCUUCGGGUUGUAAAGCUCUUUCAGAUGCGAAGAUGAUGACGGUAACAUCAGAAGAAGCCCCGGCUAAUUUCGUGCCAGCAGCCGCGGUAAUACGAAAGGGGCAAGCGUUGUUCGGAUUUACUGGGCGUAAAGGGCACGCAGGCGGUCCUGCCAGUCAGGGGUGAAAGCCCGGGGCUCAACCCCGGAACUGCCUCUGAUACUGCAGGACUAGAGACUAGGAGAGGGUGGUGGAAUUCCCAGUGUAGAGGUGAAAUUCGUAGAUAUUGGGAGGAACACCAGAGGCGAAGGCGGCCACCUGGACUAGAUCUGACGCUCAGGUGCGAAAGCGUGGGGAGCAAACAGGAUUAGAUACCCUGGUAGUCCACGCCGUAAACGAUGAGUGCUAGUUGUCGGGAUUUCGAUUUCGGUGACGCAGCUAACGCAUUAAGCACUCCGCCUGGGGAGUACGGUCGCAAGAUUAAAACUCA